Molecule: ribosomal RNA, 336 nt
Filed under: uncultured bacterium
Lineage: Bacteria
Description: bacterial SSU rRNA
Rfam family: Bacterial small subunit ribosomal RNA
Source: RNAcentral
AGAGUUCGAUUAUGGCUCAGAUUGAACGCUGGCGGCGUGCUUAACACAUGCAAGUCGAACGCGAAAGGGACUUCGGUCCUGAGUAAAGUGGCGCACGGGUGAGUAACGCGUGGAUAAUCUGCCCUUAUGAUCGGGAUAACAGUUGGAAACGGCUGCUAAUACCGGAUACGCUCAAAAUGAACUUUUUGAGGAAAGAUGGCCUCUGCUUGCAUGCUAUCGCGUAAGGAUGAGUCCGCGUCCCAUUAGCUUGUUGGCGGGGUAACGGCCCACCAAGGCAACGAUGGGUAGCCGAUUUGAGAGGAUGAUCGGCCACACUGGAACUGAAACACGGUCCAG